This 2262-nucleotide unclassified non-coding RNA is filed under the name Octopus sinensis (East Asian common octopus). RNAcentral describes it as "transmembrane channel-like protein 7, transcript variant X2". The record is from RNAcentral. Lineage: Eukaryota; Metazoa; Mollusca; Cephalopoda; Octopoda; Octopodidae.
ACAAAUCAUUCACAGAAUUUCAGAAAAGUAAAUGAAAGGAUGUUAGAGGAAUUAUAUUUGAAGACAUUUUCAUUUAAACAAAAAACUAUCUCGACUACCAAUCGUGAUAUGUCAAGUCGCAGACGAUAUAACAAAUAUGAUGCCUCUGAGUUCGGUUACCAAUGGCUAAAUCUGGACACUUUGAGCGAGAUAAUUCCACUGAGAGAACGAAUGCUGCGAAGGGAACAGGAAGGAGAAUUUAAAAAAGACGUUGAUCGCAGUGCCAAAGGCUUAACUAAGCAGAAAUGGAACAAAUUCAAACGAGAACUGCGCGAAAUUUCCUAUAAACUGGAACCUUGGAGAGCGUCUAUUAAAGCUGUGGAAGGUUACCAUGGCAGCGGUGUGGCAUCAUACUUCAUGUUCAUGAGAUGGAGCCUCUUUCUCAACAUUGGUAUCACUCUUUUGAUCAUUACAUUCGUCACAAUCCCACAGGUAGCUUUCCCAAAGAGAGACUAUUCGCCGGCCAUUUUCGGUAUUAACAAAACAUCGGUUCAGAUAGACGAAGCGGUAAAAUGUUCGAAGGAUUAUGUAUUAAAAAUCAAUAAAACUGACGUGAAAGCGCUGUUGCUUGAUUUUCUCCAAGGCUCAGGCUGGAUGGAGAAGACAGCAUUGUUCUAUGGAUAUUAUGACAAUAAAGAACUCUUCACUUACGGCAAAACUUACAUCAUACCUUUGGCAUAUCUCCUUGUUUCCAUUUCCUGUCUACUUUACAGUGUCAUUUUGAUGGCUAAAAAAUCAGCGGCCAGUUUUCGCGACAAUGUUGAGGACGACAGAGCAGGAGACAAUUUCCAGUUUUUCAGUCUGGUUUUCUUGAGUUGGGAUUACACCAUUACCGAUGCAGUUAGUGCUAAACUGAAGAAAGCGAGUAUCAUGAAGCAGAUACAGACGGAACUGGCAGAAAAACAAUACAAGCUUAAGAAAGAAAAUCUAACAAAAAACCAAAGGAUUCUGAUGUACACAAUACGUGUGACUAUCAAUAUAUUUGUGUUAACAUGCCUGACUGCCAGUGCUUAUCUUAUAUAUUAUGUGACGCAGUAUUCUACAAACUUUACAAAAAUGGAUACAUACAGUGGACAACACAAAAUUGUCAAGUUACUUGUGGAAUUUAUGCCAUCUCUGACAAUUUCAGCUUUAAAUGGUUUCGUACCAAUUAUAUUCUCUCUGGUUAUUAUUAUUGAGGAUUAUGCACCACAAAAUGAGGUUAUAAUAACGUUAGGCAGGACUAUUCUGUUACGACUUGCUUCGUUGAUAUUCCUCGUUGCAAGUCUUUACAAGGAUGUCAUGUGCAAGCCCAAAAAUGUUUGUGGGAUUGGAAUGGAAUCGUGUACAAAAAUUACGUGUUGGGAAUCCUAUAUUGGUCAACAGUUUUAUAAAUUAGUUAUUACAGACUUUGUGAUCAAACUUGUGUUAUGUCUCACUGUAGAACCGAUACGCAAGCUAAUGGCGAAAAAACUAAAAUUCAAAUUACUACCGCAGCCACAGUUUAAUGUGCCCCAGAACGUACUUGAUCUCGUUUACAUCCAAUCUUUAUGCUGGCUUGGUUUCUUCUUUGCUCCUUUAAUUACAUGUAUGGUACUGAUAUCAAUAUUUAUCACUUUCUAUUUGAAAAAGUUAUCAGCCCUACAUUGGUGUGCCGCCUCUGUGAAACCGUACAAAGCAUCCAAGUCACAGUCUCUAUUUGCUUCAGUACUUAUGGUGUCUUUCUUCCUAUGCUGCCUUCCAAUAGGUUAUGUCAUUUGCAAAGUUCCACCAUCCCGAAGUUGUGGUCCAUUCCGUAUUUAUAAGUACAUGUAUGAAAUUUUAACAGUUACCUUGGAGUUCUGGCCUAUUUCAGCAGCAAUAACAAUCAGUUUUCUUACAUCAGGAGCCUUUGUUCUCACAAUAAUCAUAGUAUUACUGUUGUUUCUCUAUUAUUUCUAUAAGAAAAUUGCUUCUCAAAGUGCAACUAUCAAAAUACUGUCUAACAAACUGAAUUCAGAGCGCAAGGAAAAAUAUUACUUCAUGGUGGAAGCAAGUAAAUCAUUGAAACAAGGUCAAGCAAACAGGGAAUACCCAACACAAGCUAGAGAACUUGAGGAAGCCACUGGCUCAACUGAAGUGCUUGACGAGAACAAAUCUUGAAUCAGAAAUUGCAACUAUUACUAAUGCUGAUAUUAUUAUUAUGAUUAUUAUUAUUAUUAUUAUUAUUAUUAUUAUUAUUAUUAUUAUUAAGGUGGCGAGAUA